This is a small nuclear RNA of 162 nucleotides. Its record names the gene U1. It matches the Rfam family "U1 spliceosomal RNA". From Rfam's summary of the family: U1 is a small nuclear RNA (snRNA) component of the spliceosome (involved in pre-mRNA splicing). The record is from Ensembl.
AUACUUAACUGGCAGGGGAGAUACCAUAAUCACAAAGGUGGUUUUGCCAGGGCGAGGCUUGUCCACUGCACUCUGGAUGUGCUGACCCUGCAGGUUUUCCCAUGUAGGAACCUUGACUGCGUCAUCUGUGCCAGUGGUGGUUUGUGUUCACACUUUCCCCAG